AUAGUUGAAAGGUGUUAAAACAGUAUUUUAAAGGACUGAAAAUCCUCGUGUCGGCAGUUCGAUUCUGCCUCUGGCCACCA
This 80-nucleotide transfer RNA is filed under the name Legionella pneumophila. Its description in RNAcentral is "tRNA-Phe". The record is from RNAcentral. RNAcentral also lists the same sequence under 6 other names. Lineage: Bacteria; Pseudomonadati; Pseudomonadota; Gammaproteobacteria; Legionellales; Legionellaceae.